UACGUAGGCAGCGAGCGUUGUUCGGAGUUACUGGGCGUAAAGGGUGUGUAGGCGGUUGUUUAAGUUUGGUGUGAAAUCUCCCGGCUCAACUGGGAGGGUGCGCCGAAUACUGAAUGACUAGAGUGCGGGAGAGGAAAGUGGAAUUCCUAGUGUAGCGGUGAAAUGCGUAGAUAUCAGGAGGAACACCGGUGGUGUAGACGGCUUUCUGGACCGUAACUGACGCUGAGACACGAAAGCGUGGGUAGCAAACAGG
Molecule: ribosomal RNA, 253 nt
Filed under: uncultured bacterium
Lineage: Bacteria
Description: partial 16S ribosomal RNA
Rfam family: Bacterial small subunit ribosomal RNA
Source: RNAcentral